CUUCCGGCCAAUGAGGUUGUCGUACCUCAUCAACCGGAAGGAAUCCCUUCCGGCCAAUGAGGUUAUUAUACCUCAUCCACCAGAUAGAUUUUCCGGUUGAUGAGGUAUAACAACCCCAUUGACCGGAAGGAAUUCCUUCCGAUCAAUGAGGUGGAACAGCCUCAUUGACUGGUGU
Molecule: microRNA precursor, 175 nt
Filed under: Puccinia graminis f. sp. tritici CRL 75-36-700-3
Lineage: Eukaryota; Fungi; Basidiomycota; Pucciniomycetes; Pucciniales; Pucciniaceae
Description: microRNA MIR807
Source: RNAcentral